This 253-nucleotide ribosomal RNA is filed under the name uncultured bacterium. Its description in RNAcentral is "partial 16S ribosomal RNA". It matches the Rfam family "Bacterial small subunit ribosomal RNA", at positions 524 to 776 of the family's 1533-position model. The record is from RNAcentral.
UACGUAGGGUGCGAGCGUUAAUCGGAAUUACUGGGCGUAAAGCGUGCGCAGGCGGUUGUAUAAGUCAGAUGUGAAAUCCCCGGGCUCAACCUGGGAACUGCAUUUGAGACUGUACGGCUAGAGUGUGGCAGAGGGGGGUAGAAUUCCACGUGUAGCAGUGAAAUGCGUAGAGAUGUGGAGGAAUACCGAUGGCGAAGGCAGCCCCCUGGGCCAAUACUGACGCUCAUGCACGAAAGCGUGGGGAGCAAACAGG